GAUGAACGCUGGCGGCGUGCCUAAUACAUGCAAGUCGAGCGAACAGACGAGGAGCUUGCUCCUCUGACGUUAGCGGCGGACGGGUGAGUAACACGUGGAUAACCUACCUAUAAGACUGGGAUAACUUCGGGAAACCGGAGCUAAUACCGGAUAAUAUAUUGAACCUCAUGGUUCAAUAGUGAAAGACGGUUUUGCUGUCACUUAUAGAUGGAUCCGCGCCGCAUUAGCUAGUUGGUAAGGUAACGGCUUACCAAGGCAACGAUGCGUAGCCGACCUGAGAGGGUGAUCGGCCACACUGGAACUGAGACACGGUCCAGACUCCUACGGGAGGCAGCAGUAGGGAAUCGUCCGCAAUGGGCGAAAGCUUGACGGAGCAACGCCGCGUGAGUGAUGAAGGUCUUCGGAUCGUAAAACUCUGUUAUUAGGGAAGAACAAAUGUGUAAGUAACUAUGCACGUCUUGACGGUACCUAAUCAGAAAGCCACGGCUAACUACG
Molecule: ribosomal RNA, 495 nt
Filed under: uncultured bacterium
Lineage: Bacteria
Description: partial 16S ribosomal RNA
Rfam family: Bacterial small subunit ribosomal RNA
Source: RNAcentral